UACGGGGGGGGCAAGCGUUGUUCGGAAUUACUGGGCGUAAAGGGCUCGUAGGCGGCCAACUAAGUCAGACGUGAAAUCCCUCGGCUUAACCGGGGAACUGCCUCUGAUACUGGAUGGCUUGAGUUCGGGAGAGGGAUGCGGAAUUCCAGGUGUAGCGGUGAAAUGCGUAGAUAUCUGGAGGAACACCGGUGGCGAAGGCGGCAUCCUGGACCGACACUGACACUGAGGAGCGAAAGCCAGGGGAGCAAACGGG
This 253-nucleotide ribosomal RNA is filed under the name uncultured bacterium. RNAcentral's name for it is "partial 16S ribosomal RNA". It matches the Rfam family "Bacterial small subunit ribosomal RNA", at positions 524 to 776 of the family's 1533-position model. The record is from RNAcentral.